UCAGCUUGGAAUAAGACAACAACUAGUUGCACAUUUCUUUCCAAGAAAAAGAAAGCUCUCUCUGUGCAGAGAGAAAGAGAAGAGGAGAAAGAAUGGAAAUGGAGGGCAGGAGUCACAGUAACAAGGGAGAGAGCAAGAGUAGUGUGGUUGUCAGUGAUCAAGAAACUACAAUCGAUUGGAGAGGGAGACCCUCCAAUCCUAGCAAGCACGGUGGAAUGAGAGCUGCAACAUUUGUUCUUGGGCUUCAAGCAUUUGAGAUAAUGGCAAUAGCAGCAGUAGGGAAUAAUCUGAUAACAUAUGUGAUGAAUGAGAUGCACUUCUCUUUGUCAAGGUCUGCAAACAUAGUGACAAACUUUGUUGGAACUGUCUUUAUAUUGGCCCUCCUUGGUGGCUACCUCUCAGACUCCUAUCUUGGGUGUUUCUGGACCCUGCUCAUCUUUGGUUUUGUGGAACUUUCUGGUUUCAUAUUGUUAUCAGUCCAAGCUCAUCUUCCCCAGCUAAAGCCACCCCAGUGCAACAUUAAUGAAGAACAGUGUGUUGAAGCAAAGGGCUUAAAGGCAUUAAUUUUUUUUGUAGCACUAUACUUGGUGGCACUAGGGAGUGGAUGUGUUAAACCCAAUAUGAUUGCUCAUGGAGCUGACCAAUUUAACCAAAAUAACCCAAAGCAAUCCAAGAAGCUUUCCACCUACUUCAAUGUUGCCUAUUUUGCUUUUUCAAUAGGUGAACUUAUUGCCCUUACUGUUCUUGUGUGGGUCCAAACACAUUCUGGCAUGGAUGUUGGGUUCGGAGUCUCUGCAGCUGCUAUGGCAAUGGGACUCAUCAGCAUGGUUUCUGGUACUUUAUA
RNAcentral lists this unclassified non-coding RNA (844 nucleotides) under Hevea brasiliensis (rubber tree). Lineage: Eukaryota; Viridiplantae; Streptophyta; Magnoliopsida; Malpighiales; Euphorbiaceae. The record is from RNAcentral.